UGCAUGGGUGGGUCUGACUGAGAAAGAAGCGAAAGAGAAAGGCAUCAGCUAUGAAACCGCCACCUUCCCGUGGGCUGCUUCUGGUCGUGCUAUCGCUUCCGACUGCGCAGACGGUAUGACCAAGCUGAUUUUCGACAAAGAAUCUCACCGUGUGAUCGGUGGUGCGAUUGUCGGUACUAACGGCGGCGAGCUGCUGGGUGAAAUCGGCCUGGCAAUCGAAAUGGGUUGUGAUGCUGAAGACAUCGCACUGACCAUCCACGCGCACCCGACUCUGCACGAGUCUGUGGGCCUGGCGGCAGAAGUGUUCGAAGGUAGCAUUACCGACCUGCCGAACCCGAAAGCGAAGAAGAAGUAAUUUUUCGUUUGCCGGAACAUCCGGCAAUUAAAAAAGCGGCUAACCACGCCGCUUUUUUUACGUCUGCAAUUUACCUUUCCAGUCUUCUUGCUCCACGUUCAGAGAGACGUUCGCAUACUGCUGACCGUUGCUCGUUAUUCAGCCUGACAGUAUGGUUACUGUCGUUUAGACGUUGUGGGCGGCUCUCCUGAACUUUCUCCCGAAAAACCUGACGUUGUUCAGGUGAUGCCGAUUGAACACGCUGGCGGGCGUUAUCACGUUGCUGUUGAUUCAGUGGGCGCUGCUGUACUUUUUCCUUAAACACCUGGCGCUGCUCUGGUGAUGCGGACUGAAUACGCUCACGCGCUGCGUCUCUUCGCUGCUGGUUCUGCGGGUUAGUCUGCAUUUUCUCGCGAACCGCCUGGCGCUGCUCAGGCGAGGCGGACUGAAUGCGCUCACGCGCUGCCUCUCUUCGCUGCUGGAUCUUCGGGUUAGUCUGCAUUCUCUCGCGAACUGCCUGGCGCUGCUCAGGCGAGGCGGACUGAUAACGCUGACGAGCGGCGUCCUUUUGUUGCUGGGUCAGUGGUUGGCGACGGCUGAAGUCGUGGAAGUCGUCAUAGCUCCCAUAGUGUUCAGCUUCAUUAAACCGCUGUGCCGCUGCCUGACGUUGGGUAUCUCGUGUAAUGACUGGUGCGGCGUGUGUUCGUUGCUGAAACUGAUUUGCUGCCGCCUGACGCUGGCUGUCGCGCGUUGGGGCAGGUAAUUGCGUGGCGCUCAUUCCGCCGUUGACAUCGGUUUGAUGAAACCGCUUUGCCAUAUCCUGAUCAUGAUAGGGCACACCAUUACGGUAGUUUGGAUUGUGCCGCCAUGCCAUAUUCUUAUCAGUAAGAUGCUCACCGGUGAUACGGUUGAAAUUGUUGACGUCGAUAUUGAUGUUGUCGCCGUUGUGUUGCCAGCCAUUACCGUCACGAUGACCGCCAUCGUGGUGAUGAUAAUCAUCAUUGUCAUGAUGAUGAUGGUCAUGAUCGUCGUCGUCCCAGUCGAUGCUGCUGAAUAGUGCGUACGUGGUAGCAACGCCCAUGCUAUAGCCGAAUCCGCGUACAAAGCUGUCAACAAACGGUUCUCCGGCUGGUGGUGGCAGAUAAACCGGCGGAUACGCAGUAUUGGCCCAGUUCCCGUAAACCACGGUUGGGUUGUAGUUGGGAAUAUAGACCACAUCA
RNAcentral lists this ribosomal RNA (1554 nucleotides) under uncultured bacterium. RNAcentral's name for it is "partial 16S ribosomal RNA". The record is from RNAcentral.